Molecule: long non-coding RNA, 1150 nt
Filed under: Marmota monax (woodchuck)
Lineage: Eukaryota; Metazoa; Chordata; Mammalia; Rodentia; Sciuridae
Source: RNAcentral
CAAGCUCCCAGGUUGCUGGGAUUACAGGUGUGUGCCCAGCCUAACUUCUGUUCUUCAUAAUGCUGAUUUCCCAGUCUCAGAAUUUUUUUGUUUUUGGGUUUUUGUUAUAUCAACAGAAAAUGACAGCAAAGUGAAGAGGAGGAAAUCUCUGAGCCAGGGUACACCUGUCUGUGGGCUUCCUGAGAACAAAGAGCAGAAGGGAACUCAGGCCACUGGCUUUACCCUUCAUCCCACUCUUCCACCCUGCAGCUUCCCCCCGGCCUGUUGCUUUGACUUGCUUAGGUCCCCAAGUCUGGAGCUCCACUUGACCUCUGGUCUGCUGCAGCCAGGCUGCUGGGUAGAGGAGGACCUGGUGCUCUGCCUUUCAUAUAGAAACUUGUAAGUAUCCUAGUUUUCACUUCACCUCUCUGGCGUAUUCCUGCUGCCCUGGAAUACUGAGCCUCCCGGGGUUCUGCAGGACUUUGCUCCUUUCUUGUAUGCAUUUCUCUCUGCAGUGUCUUGGGCUAAAACUUUUGCUAGACAGUACAGUCCUCUACUUUGUUUCCAUCUUUUCGAACAUUGUUAAACAUCCUUAUCUAUUAAGGAGUCCUUAAUGGAUUCAGCCUUCUCCACACCUGGGUAUGUUGGUGUGUGCCUGUAAUCCCAGCUCCUUGGGCUGCUCAGUGGGGAGAACCACUUGAGGCCAGAACUUGAGGCCAGCCUGGGCAACAGGGCAAGGCCUUGUCUCAUUAAAAAAAAAAAAAUUUAUGUAUAUAUUAAAAACUUUCUAUACUGUCCUUUUAGUUGAGCUGGAGAGGGAGAAGAAAUGGCUAAUCUUUAAUCUCAUUAAACUUUAUUAGAUGUGUCUGGGACAGGGACAGCAGGCAGCUGGCAACUGUGCAUAGAGGGCUUGAAGGCCUGACUUUUCUAUGAGGUUGACUUUCAGCUGCUCUGUGUGCUAUUCAUUCCAUCCUCUGGCAGGUCUGAGCUCUUCAGGGCUCUGUGGGUCUUACCAGAACCUUCCUAGGCUGAGCUCCCUUUGCCCAGCCAUUCCUGCUUUAUGUCCUCCAGAAGUGUGUUGGAAUUCUUUUGUCUAUUUCUGAAAUACUACCUCUCAGACUGGGUCAGAUGGCUAUAGCAAAAUGGAAAGUCUAUUAUAUUCAUUCACUGU